RNAcentral lists this ribosomal RNA (305 nucleotides) under Platycentrus acuticornis. RNAcentral describes it as "partial 28S ribosomal RNA". The record is from RNAcentral. Lineage: Eukaryota; Metazoa; Arthropoda; Insecta; Hemiptera; Membracidae.
GGCCGCCGGCAACCCUUGAACGCUUGGCGCGAGAAGUCCGUAACGCCGGGGUGCAUUACCCUCGACGUACGCCCUCCGCCUAACCAAGUAAGUAAAGAAACGAUGAAAGUAGUGGUAUUUCAUUGGCGAUGAACCCGUCUCCCACUUAUGCUACACCUCUCAUGUCUCGUUACAGUGCCAGACUAGAGUCAAGCUCAACAGGGUCUUCUUUCCCCGCUGAUUAUUCCAAGCCCGUUCCCUUGGCAGUGGUUUCGCUAGAUAGUAGAUAGGGACAGGGGAAUCUCGUUAAUCCAUUCAUGCGCGUC